This 603-nucleotide long non-coding RNA is filed under the name Olea europaea subsp. europaea. Lineage: Eukaryota; Viridiplantae; Streptophyta; Magnoliopsida; Lamiales; Oleaceae. The record is from RNAcentral.
AACUGAUCACGUUCUAUAUAAAAAUCAAUAAAAUAACAGAUAAACAACCAAGACCCUGGCUACUGUAAACUUUGUGACAGCAUAAGCAAAUGCUAAAAUGCAGCCACAUUGUUGAAUUAGGAAAGAACAUUCACAAUAAUCCUAAUUACGAUUUGUAUUCUCAAUAUGUCCCCUAACCACAAAAUGUCAAGUACAUUUAAAUCCUGAAUUCUCCUCCUCAUAACUUAGUGCCUGAUUAUGAACUUUGCCAGUAGUAAACACAUAAUCAACUUAUACAUCACAAGCCCAUUGAAACUUUGUCUCAGAAGUCCAAAGAAUUCAAACAAGUAGGGUAUAGCACAAAAUAUUCUUCUUGUUCCAAUGAUACACACAAACAAUCAAUCCAGGGAAAAAUAUUUUGUAGCGUAUAAAAGAUAAUUCUUAAAACAGUUGAAUUGAUGAGCAUGUGUACCGUGCUCCAAUUGUUUGAUGCGUGCAAUAAACGACUCAUUGUCGACUAAGUUAUAAUCCAUGGCUAAAAAACAAAAACCCACAAACCAAUAUUUAUAGUCUUCUCAUAUGAGGAUCAAUAAUAUUAAUCAAUUGCACACAAUAACCCUAGAA